This 1501-nucleotide ribosomal RNA is filed under the name uncultured bacterium. RNAcentral's name for it is "bacterial SSU rRNA". It matches the Rfam family "Bacterial small subunit ribosomal RNA". The record is from RNAcentral.
AGAGUUUGAUCCUGGCUCAGAUUGAACGCUGGCGGUAUGCUUAACACAUGCAAGUCGAACGGAAACGAAACUAGCUUGCUAGUAGGCGUCGAGUGGCGGACGGGUGAGUAACGCGUAGGAAUCUGCCUGAUAGUGGGGGAUAGCCCGAAGAAAUUCGGAUUAAUACCGCAUAAUCUAUUCGUAGUAAAGUGGGGGACUUUCGAGCCUCACGCUAUCAGAUGAGCCUGCGUAAGAUUAGCUUGUUGGUAGGGUAAAAGCCUACCAAGGCAACGAUCUUUAGCUGGUCUGAGAGGAUGAUCAGCCACAUCGGGACUGAGACACGGCCCGAACUCCUACGGGAGGCAGCAGUGGGGAAUAUUGGACAAUGGGGGCAACCCUGAUCCAGCAAUACCGCGUGUGUGAAGAAGGCCUGAGGGUUGUAAAGCACUUUCAAUUGUGAAGAAAAGUUAACGGUUAAUAACCGUUGACCUUGACGUUAACUUUAGAAGAAGCACCGGCUAACUCCGUGCCAGCAGCCGCGGUAAUACGGAGGGUGCAAGCGUUAAUCGGAAUUACUGGGCGUAAAGCGUGCGUAGGCGGUUUAUUAAGUCAGAUGUGAAAGCCCCGGGCUUAACCUGGGAACUGCAUUUGAAACUGGUCAACUAGAGUAUGGUAGAGGAAAGUGGAAUUUCUGGUGUAGCGGUGAAAUGCGUAGAUAUCAGAAGGAACAUCAAUGGCGAAGGCAGCUUUCUGGACCAAUACUGACGCUGAGGUACGAAAGCGUGGGUAGCAAACAGGAUUAGAUACCCUGGUAGUCCACGCCGUAAACGAUGAUAACUAGCCGUUGGGGGGAUUUACCCCUUAGUGGCGAAGCUAACGCGUUAAGUUAUCCGCCUGGGGAGUACGGCCGCAAGGUUAAAACUCAAAGGAAUUGACGGGGACCCGCACAAGCGGUGGAGCAUGUGGUUUAAUUCGAUGCAACGCGAAGAACCUUACCUGGUCUUGACAUCCUGCGAACUUUCUAGAAAUAGAUUGGUGCCUUCGGGAACGCAGUGACAGGUGCUGCAUGGCUGUCGUCAGCUCGUGUCGUGAGAUGUUGGGUUAAGUCCCGUAACGAGCGCAACCCCUAUCCUUAUUUGCCAGCACGUCAUGGUGGGAACUAUAAGGAGACUGCCGGUGAUAAACCGGAGGAAGGCGGGGACGACGUCAAGUCAUCAUGGCCCUUACGACCAGGGCUACACACGUGCUACAAUGGGAAGGACAAAGAGCCGCGAAGCCGCGAGGUGUAGCUAAUCUCAGAAACCUUUUCGUAGUCCGGAUUGGAGUCUGCAACUCGACUCCAUGAAGUCGGAAUCGCUAGUAAUCGUAGAUCAGAAUGCUACGGUGAAUACGUUCCCGGGUCUUGUACACACCGCCCGUCAUACCAUGGGAGUGGGUUGCACCAGAAGUGGCUAGUCUAACUUAGUGAGGACGGUCACCACGGUGUGAUUCAUGACUGGGGUAAAGUCGUAACAAGGUAACC